This 217-nucleotide ribosomal RNA is filed under the name uncultured soil bacterium. Its description in RNAcentral is "partial 16S ribosomal RNA". It matches the Rfam family "Bacterial small subunit ribosomal RNA", at positions 26 to 271 of the family's 1533-position model. The record is from RNAcentral.
AGAACGAACGCUGGCGGCAUGCCUAAUACAUGCAAGUCGAACGAACACUUCGGUGUUAGUGGCGCACGGGUGCGUAACGCGUGGGAAUCUGCCCUUGGGUUCGGAAUAACAGUUGGAAACGACUGCUAAUACCGGAUGAUGACGAAAGUCCAAAGAUUUAUCGCCCAGGGAUGAGCCCGCGUAGGAUUAGCUAGUUGGUGAGGUAAAGGCUCACCAA